CAGCCUCUGGGCUUGGUGCACGCAGGCCGUGUAGAUGUGAAUGAAGGCUUUGCUCACUUGCAGGUUUCUUUUUAGAGAGAAAUUCUAGAAUGAGAUGGAUUGGAAGAGGGUUAGCUUGGGGUUUCAUGUGCCGCUCACUGCAAAAUGAGAAAUUCCGGCAGGGGCCAGCCAGACGCUAAUGUCCUCUCUUCGGAAACAUCUUAAGUGAAAAGCCCAUGCGUUGCCCAUGGCGAGUGCUUGACUCUGCUGUGGGCCGGGUGCCUUCAUGGGAUCCCGCCCCCGCCUACUUGAGAUCCAGCAGGUCUGUCUCCUCCUGCGAGUUCUACAGCAAAGUUUCCUCUGCACAGCUUGACAGAGACUGUCCAGGGCCAGCAGUUCUCUCACUGCCCAAUAGUCUCGCAGCUUCCUUGAACCUCACCUUGUCUCCAUGGUGGAUCAGGAGGAUCAGCAUAUAAAGCAGUGUCCACACAGGACACACACCCCCGUGUUGCACUGUCAGCCUGCUGAUUGACAGUUUUCAGUGCUUUUAUUAGGUUAGCCGAAAAGCUUCUUCGAUUUUAAAGUAAAAAUAAAAGGCAGUUUUCAUUUUCACCAAGAACUUUAUUGAAGUACAUAUUCGUUGUUUUGUUCCAUUACCUUUUGCCAUUUCCCAGGCAACUUCGUAAUUCCAUCUUCCCAAAGCUUGUUAUCUUUUUGAGCAAAGAACUGCCGAGUGCCUUUUACAGCCUUCCAGGGAAUUGAAAUUUUUCCCGUCAAGAGAAUUUUGUAAAGACUGAAACAAAUGAACAUCCGGAAGUGCAGUGUCUGCUGGAUACGGAGGAUGAAUCAGAACUUCCCAGCCAAGCUGUAACAGUAUUAGCCUAGUCAACCAAAGAAUCAUUCAGUCUUACAUUAUCCUGAUGGGAGGGUUUUGUUUUUUUUUCUGUUGACUAAUUCUGGACAUUUUUCGUGGCAUGCUGCUUUUGGUUGGUCUCACUGGGAGCAGUACUUGUUGGACCCAAUCGUGUGGUUUUCCAGAAGGAGCUCAGAGGACUCCCUGCCAACCCCACCCCAUACAUCACCUCGCCUUUGCAUGAAGACCAGCUUUUGGUGUGGUUGGUGGUCGUUCAUUUCGCUUGCCCUAUGAUCUCUUCUGUUCCACACUUUUGUACAGUAUCCAUUUUUCCUUGCCUGGUGUUUUAAAAAUGGAACAUUUUUGUUAUGUUUAAGUAGAGAAUCACAUGUGGAAAUAAGGUACAGAAGGUUUUUUUCACUUAACUUACGUGGAACCCAAAUAUCAAAGCGAUGAACAUAAUUAAGCUGGUGCAAAUGAUUUUCAGUGCUUGCUUGGAACAUUUUGAGUAUGUCCACUCUCUCCCGUGUGGUGUAACGUUGAUUAUUCUCAAUGUCUCAGUUUGGUGGCUGUCAACUUCGAGUAGUCUGCUGAGCCAUGGAGCAUCGUCCAGUGAGAAAUCCCAGCAUAAAACUUCACAAACCACUUUUGGCACUUUUGAUCAGUCACAGCACAUACUCCAUACACGGCACAACUCUUUUUUUGCAUUUUAAUCUCAUUCUUACCUUUCUCGAAAUAAGAAAGCUUUUGUGUGUGCAUGCUCAGUCAAUAAGACGCU
Molecule: non-coding RNA, 1610 nt
Organism: Odocoileus virginianus texanus
Lineage: Eukaryota; Metazoa; Chordata; Mammalia; Artiodactyla; Cervidae
Source: RefSeq, a predicted model, not a curated record